Molecule: ribosomal RNA, 647 nt
Filed under: Solibacillus isronensis
Lineage: Bacteria; Bacillati; Bacillota; Bacilli; Caryophanales; Caryophanaceae
Description: bacterial SSU rRNA
Rfam family: Bacterial small subunit ribosomal RNA
Source: RNAcentral
CCCGGUAGUAUGCCCUCCGUAUACGAUGAGUGCUAAGUGCUUGGGGAGGCAUUCCGCGCCUUCAGUGGCGCAGCUAACGCAUAAGCACUCCGCCUGGGGAGUACGGUCGCAAGACUGAAACUCAAAGGAAUUGACGGGGGCCCGCACAAGCGGUGGAGCAUGUGGUUUAAUUUGGAGCAACGCGAAGAACCUUACCAGGCCUUGACAUUCCGAGGAACUUUCCGGAGACAUAUUGUCCCCUUCGGGACCAUCGGUCCCAGGUGGUGCAUGGUUGUCUCAGCUUGUGUUGGGAGAUGGGGGUUAAGUCCCAAAACGAGCAACCCCCUUCCUCAUAGUUCCCAUCAUUCAGGUGGGCACUCUAAGGAUACUGCCAGUGACAAACCGGAGGAAGGUGGGGAUGACGUCAAGUCAUCAUGCCCCUAAUGACCUGGGCUACACACGUGCUACAAUGGUCGGUACAAAGGGUUGCCACCCAGCGAGGGGGAGCUAAUCUCAUAAAACCGAUCUUAGUUCGGAUUGUAGUCUGCAACUCGCCUACAUGAAGCCGGAAUCGCUAGUAAUCGCGGAUCAGCAUGCCGCGGUGAAUACGUUCCCGGGUCCUUGUACACACCGCCCGUCACACCAUGAGAGUUAGUAACUCCAGAAGU